RNAcentral lists this ribosomal RNA (301 nucleotides) under uncultured bacterium. RNAcentral describes it as "partial 16S ribosomal RNA". It matches the Rfam family "Bacterial small subunit ribosomal RNA", at positions 509 to 807 of the family's 1533-position model. The record is from RNAcentral.
CAGCCGCCACGGUAAAACGAAGGGGGCUAGCGUUGUUCGGAUUUACUGGGCGUAAAGCGCACGUAGGCGGAUCCUUAAGUCAGAGGUGAAAUCCCAAGGCUCAACCUUGGAACUGCCUUUGAUACUGGGGAUCUCGAGUCCGGGAGAGGUGAGUGGAACUGCGAGUGUAGAGGUGAAAUUCGUAGAUAUUCGCAAGAACACCAGUGGCGAAGGCGGCUCACUGGCCCGGUACUGACGCUGAGGUGCGAAAGCGUGGGGAGCAAACAGGAUUAGAUACCCCCGUAGUCCCUGUCUCUUAUAC